Molecule: non-coding RNA, 28 nt
Filed under: Mus musculus (house mouse)
Lineage: Eukaryota; Metazoa; Chordata; Mammalia; Rodentia; Muridae
Source: RNAcentral
UAAUGAAUUUGGGUGUGUUUUUCCUUCC